RNAcentral lists this ribosomal RNA (465 nucleotides) under uncultured bacterium. Its description in RNAcentral is "partial 16S ribosomal RNA". It matches the Rfam family "Bacterial small subunit ribosomal RNA", at positions 338 to 795 of the family's 1533-position model. The record is from RNAcentral.
CCUACGUGAGGCAGCAGUGGGGAAUAUUGCGCAAUGGGCGAAAGCCUGACGCAGCGACGCCGCGUGAGGGAUGAAGGUCUUCGGAUCGUAAACCUCUGUCAGCAGGGAAGAACGGUCACUGUGCUAAUCAGCAGUGAAUUGACGGUACCUGCAAAGGAAGCACCGGCUAACUCCGUGCCAGCAGCCGUGGUAAUACGGAGGGUGCGAGCGUUAAUCGGAAUUACUGGGCGUAAAGCGCUCGUAGGCGGUAUGUCAAGUCAAGGGUGAAAUCCCCGAGCUCAACGUGGGAACUGCCUUUGAAACUGGCAAACUGGAGUGUGUGAGAGGAUAGUGGAAUUCCAGGUGUAGGAGUGAAAUCCGUAGAUAUCUGGAGGAACAUCAGUGGCGAAGGCGACUAUCUGGCACAUAACUGACGCUGAGGAGCGAAAGCGUGGGUAGCAAACAGGAUUAGAUACCCGAGUAGUC